Molecule: long non-coding RNA, 1129 nt
Filed under: Sarcophilus harrisii (Tasmanian devil)
Lineage: Eukaryota; Metazoa; Chordata; Mammalia; Dasyuromorphia; Dasyuridae
Description: lncRNA (ENSSHAG00000029052.1)
Source: RNAcentral
GUCUCGUUCCCAGAGUUCCUGGCCAGUCCCCUCAACUGUACUGCCUGGGAUCCUUCUCCUACAGGAAGCUCCUGAAUAUUGACAGUUUCCAGUGCGGCAAGGAGGAGAGUCCUCCCAAAAGCAACUGCUGGCACCCCUAACAGGGGCAGAUGCUUAAGAAAAUAACAGGGGUCCUCCCCAGGGAAAAAUACAUUGGGGGGAAACCAGUAGGUACACAGCAGGUGGUCCUCCACACUAAAUCAACUCUCAUCUACAAUUUCAGUACCAGGAGCAUCAGAGCUCAAAGUUCUCCCUGCAUACGUUGCCUCAGGUUUCCCUCGGAAUAACCCUUUGAAACAGCUGGGAAAGCUUCAGCAGAACAGCAGAGGGUGCAGUGGCGGCCUUCAUCUCCACAGCAGAGGGUCCUUCCCCAACAACAGCUCCAUGAUCUGGUUUUGUUCCCAGAGUUCCUGGACCUCUACUGCACAGAAUGGCAUCCUCCUUAUGUAGGAGUUCUGGAACAUUGACAACGAUUCCUGUGCAGCACAAAGAGAAGUCCUCCCUAAACAACAACACUUGUCCCUGAAGGGAGGAAAUAUUUAGGAAAAUACCCGGGGUCCUCCACAGGGAAACUUUAAAUGCACAUCAGGGAGUCUUCCUUACUAAUCCCGUUCUCACCUAUAAUUUGGGGGACCAGAGGAUGACUGAACCUCAAAAUUCUCUCUCUCUGCCUCUCUCUCUUUUCUAUAUAGAUAUCUUUACAUAGGUAAUCCUCCUAGUCAAAAAGCUGACACUUAGCUUGAGGCAUAAGGAAACUGAGGCAGCCCAGUGGGGGUCUCCCUCCCAAGCUAGAUCUUAGCCAUUGUGGGUGCCUUGGCGGCCUUCAUCUGUACAGCAGGGGGUCCUCCUCCAAAGACAGCUCCAAGACAUGGUCUUGUUCCUGGCGUUCAUGCCCAGGGCCCUCAAUUGCAGAACAGGGGCUGCUCCUUAUACAGAAAGCUCCCAAACUUGGAGAGUGAUUCCUGUGGAGCACGGAGGUACCAAAAGCAUCAUUGCUCAAAGUUCUCCCUGCAUAUGUAGCCUCAGGUCUCCCUCACAAUAACCCUUUGUAACAGCUGGGAAACAUUCAACAGAACAACAGGUAAUUCCC